GCCCCCGCUUUCCUCUUCAUACGCAAAACGAAAUUGAUAUUUAUUUUUCUACUUUACCCAUUCAAAUCCAUGUCAUUCUUCUAAUCAAAAUCUUCUCUCAUAGCAAUUAAUUUUUCCGAUUUCCAAUUCAUAUGGAAUCAGCUGUCUUCUUCAUCGAUUACAGAGAGCAUCAGAAUUCAUUUUCCUUUCCUAUUCUCUCUCUAUCUCACGCCACUCUCCCUUUUUUUAUUUUCAGUUUCAAACAAAAACAAAGCUGAUGAUGACGAUGUAAAGAGGAGGCCGCGAACUGAAGAGGGUUGAGGAGAAGGCGUCGCGUGAUUGAAGACAGAGAGGUCGUGGUCACGGUGGCAGUGAAGUAGACGAGUGAAGAAGGAGAAGCAAGUCACGCCGUUGCAAACUAAAGAGAGAUUUCGUCACGGCACAAUAUUGAUAACCCUAAGCUAACCCAAGUUAAGUGGCUAUUACAGGACUGUCAUGCGCGUGAGGCGACAUAUUAACUCAUUGGAGGAACGGCUUUUGGAGAGCUUGGUAUGGGAAAAGGGUUCUUUAAUGUAUAAUUCAUUAGCAGUCGCUAGACCCGCACUUUCUGUAGACCUCAAUCGGCUUGGUAUGUUGGCAGAACCCAUGUGAUCAUUAGAUGAAAUCGCAAUGGAUAUUAACUUCUCUUAUGGAGGACUCCCUCUUGUGCCUUCCUUGCCGAAGCCCGAGACUAUGUCAGCUUAAAACGGGGACCCCAAAUCACCCAAAUGGCUUUGCACUGAACAUCGAAAUGUGUUGGGGGAACAAAAUUCUUUUACUUCACUGGUGAAAGACAGGCUUCUUCACUUAAGCAACCUAAAGUCAAAAUUACUCCCACCUCCUUUGCGAUCAACAUUUGCAAGAUAUAACUUUCACGAGGCUUAAAGUAACAUUAUCUGUAAGUUUGCUUCCUUUGUUGCUUUGUGUUGAAUGUUCAUGUUUAUUCUUUGUAGUCCGACAAAGCCAAAUCCAGGAGGUGGCGGAGAAACAUGUGCACAAAUUGGUAUCGGUGUCUUUUUCAGCAAGAUUUUCAAGUUAGGAGAAGUCGGAAUAAGCGGAAUGGUUGAAAGGCUACAAUUAUCUCACUAGAUAAGGGAGAAUGUAUAUUGUUUUUUCCAGCGAAUCCUAAACCAAUGGACAUCUCUCUUCUUUAGCCGCCAUAUUGACCGAAUCAAUGCGUGUUGCUUCUAUGGAGUUGCGAAGAUAUCACAAUUGAACUUAACUUUUAGGGAGAUUACAUACAACUACAGAGAGCAACCCCAAUGCAAACUACAAUUUUUUCGCAACAUAUUCGUUUAUUGGUCAUCCACACGCCACAAUGGAUCAUCCAAACAGAGAACAGGGCACGAACACAUCGAUAUCAUUUCAUUUUGCAUCGAAGUUUUCAUCCCCUCCGUAAAGCCACUGCUGGUUGAAAUUGGCCCUGGCAACCUGAAGCUAACAACAAAAACAACUGUAUUUGCUUAUUCACUUAGUUACUUUCAACCAUUGCUACGCAGUUUUUGAAUUGCGUUAUGUUAACGAUAAUAUCAUCUCCUUAACUAAUAUGUUUUUUUAAGCAACAAGAAAGUAAGAGGGUCCCUCAAUUUCAAUUACGUCAAUGUUGGCUCAGUUAGCUACUCUAUGGUAGCAAAUAACCUUUAUCUGCAAAACAGAAGUUCCGCAUCAACUUCAGGUGCACCAUUGAAGACUGAGCAACCUCACUCUUAAACUCAAUUAUGUUUACAUUCUAACCGUGUCUCUUUUCUCAUGCUUUCUGAGUUCAUACUAGAUGUUAAUGGAUUUUGAGAUGAGGGGAUAUGUAUAGCGACAUGGUUGUAGAAAGCCGCCUCUACCCCUUUGUACUUUUGGUAUAUUGUUAGGCAUUUUAGUGCAAAUUGUAGGUCUUGCUUUCAAUUAGCUAAGCAAUAAAAUGUUUGCCUUUUCUAGCUUAAAACACAAA
Molecule: long non-coding RNA, 1960 nt
Organism: Vicia villosa (hairy vetch)
Lineage: Eukaryota; Viridiplantae; Streptophyta; Magnoliopsida; Fabales; Fabaceae
Exons: 5
Source: RefSeq, a predicted model, not a curated record